AGUGAACGCUGGCGGCAGGCCUAACACAUGCAAGUCGAGCGGCAGCGGGUUCCCGCGAGGGGAUGCCGGCGAGCGGCGGACGGGUGAGGAACACAUCGGAAUCUGCCUGGUUGUGGGGAUAACGUAGGGAACUUACGCUAAUACCGCAUGAGACCCUGAGUCGACGGACUGGGGGUGGAAAGUGAGGGACCUCCGGGCCUCACGCGACCAGAUGAGCCGAUGUCGGAUUAGCUAGUUGGCGGGGUAACGGCCCGCCAAGGCGACGAUCCGUAGCUGGUCUGAGAGGAUGAUCAGCCACACUGGGACUGAGACACGGCCCAGACUCCUACGGGAGGCAGCAGUGGGGAAUCUUGGACAAUGGGCGCAAGCCUGAUCCAGCCAUGCCGCGU
Molecule: ribosomal RNA, 389 nt
Filed under: uncultured bacterium
Lineage: Bacteria
Description: bacterial SSU rRNA
Rfam family: Bacterial small subunit ribosomal RNA
Source: RNAcentral